GCUGGCUCCAGGGGCUGUUUCCUUACCCCUCCGGCCCUCGAUACCCCCUUGCAGUCUCCAAGAGUUUGUUUUAGGGCUCAAGUCUUCCUCUACCCCAAAAUGGGCAGACAGACCUGGGCAGGGGCGGAGGCGGAGAGAAGUUUUCUUCGUCGAGAGCCUUACCCUGCUGCUGGGAACAGUCGCUGUCCAGGAUCGUGGCGAGGGAAGCAUUCAGCCCGGGCUCUGGUCCCUCCAGGGAGGACGGCGGCCCGGGCACAGCAUCGAGCACAGGUGGAGGCUGUGUGUGUGUGUGUGUGUGUGUGUGUGUGUGUGUGUCCAUGUGUCCAUUCGUGCACGCGCGCGAUCUCUUGGGAAUGCGUGUUGG
This 364-nucleotide long non-coding RNA is filed under the name Phascolarctos cinereus (koala). RNAcentral describes it as "lncRNA (ENSPCIG00000032128.1)". Lineage: Eukaryota; Metazoa; Chordata; Mammalia; Diprotodontia; Phascolarctidae. The record is from RNAcentral.